This 3059-nucleotide long non-coding RNA is filed under the name Homo sapiens (human). Its description in RNAcentral is "non-protein coding SAMMSON:11". The record is from RNAcentral. Lineage: Eukaryota; Metazoa; Chordata; Mammalia; Primates; Hominidae.
GGGCAGACACACUGAAGUCGCUAGACAUUUGAGGAACACAUCCGGGGAAGAAGACACAGGUGGCUGGUCAUGGAGAGCCCGCUGGGGGAAGAGCACACAGACAGGCACCGGCAGGCCAUUGACCAGCGGGACAAGGUGGGCUCAAUGUCAUCACAAGGGUGCUUAAGAGGGAAAGAGGAAGCCAUGAGGGUCAGAGUCAAAGGAAGACUUGAAGAUACUACACUGCGGACUUUAAAGAUGAAGGAAGGGGCGAAAACCAAGAAUGUGGGAAGCCUCUAGAAGCUAGAGAAGGCAAGGAAACAAAUUUUCCACUAGAGCCUCCAGAAGGAACACAGCCCUGCUGACCCACUGUAAUGUCUGACCUCUAGAUGUGUAAGGGUAGUAAGACUGAAAGUCUCAGAAAGGCACUGUUAAAUUCUUAUUCCUCAACUAUGCAACUCAAAACUGGGGUCCUCAGCAGUGAGCGAGGGGUGAGAGAAGACACUGUAUAAACAUGGCACAUCCUCCUGGAAAGUCAACUUUACUCAAAGGUUCUUACACACAGUGACAGCUAGCAGAGUCUAAAAUGCUGACAUUAUGACUUAGAGAUGUGAUAAAGAGAAACAUCUAUUGCAUUUUCUAAAACAUUUGCCAGUUCCCAGUCUACACUUACACUGUCCAAUGGAAAUACAAUGCAAACCAGAAGUGUAAUUGUGGAUUAGGUGCCGCUGUUGCUGCUUGAGUGUGUUGAAUUCAGAACCAUAGCCAGACAUGGGACUGGAAGAUGAGUGAAAGAUACUGACCAGGUCCGAAGAUCUCAUGGAGGAGGAAGAGCAAGAGGAGGAAUUACUGGAUCCCCCAACAACAGAAAGAGAGCAAUGCAAGCAGCUGGAGAAAUGUGUAAAGGCCAGGAGUGGCUAGAGCUCUGUGAUGAGUGUAUAUCCUUCCAGUCACAAAGAAGAGAAUGCCAUGGAGGAGCUUUGGACUUUUUGCAUGCAAGGGACCACUGAGUGACCCACAAACUCUUUAACAGCUUGAAAUAAAUGUGCAGACAUAUUUACUUCAGCCUUCAUCACCUUGGCAUAAGGAUCUUUCCUUAUGGUUUUGAAUAUGCCAUUUGCUUCUAAUUUGUGUAACUGUAAGUUUAUAUUAACCUCGUGGAUUUUGGCUUCGACAAGUAGCUUCUAGGUAAUUAGCAGUGAUUCUAUCUUAAUGAAGUUCUGUGAUCUACAAAAACAAGGUUUCCUCAGCCAAAUAUCCAAUUUCUUUGCUCACAAAUUCUACCUUCCACAAAACACUAGAACAUGAACACAAUUCAACCAAGUUCUCUUCCAGUUUAUAAUGAGAAUUGCCUUUCUUCCAUUGCCCAAUAACAUGUUCCUCUUCCUCAUUUCCAUCUGAGUCUUCAUCAGAAUAGCCUUUAUUGUCCAUAUUUCUACCAACGUUCUGUUCGUGACCACUUUGGAAUUCUGUAAGAAGAUUGAGGUUUUCUCUACAGCAAACUUUCCUCCUUUCUCUCUGGGACUUCAUCAGAAUUGCCCUUCGUGGGACAUUCAUGGCAAUGUAGGUUUUUUUUUGUUUUUGUUUUUAUUUUCUUUUUCUAGCAUGAACCUUGAAACUCUUCCAGCCUCAACGCAUUACCCAAUUCCAAAGCUGCUUCCACAUUUCUAGGCAUUUGUUACAGCAACAUGCCCACUUCUUGACACAAAAAUCUGUAUUAAGAUUCUCCAGAGAAAAAGAACUAAUAAGAUCUAUGUACAUAUAAAUAUUUAUUAUGAAAAUUGGCUCACACAAUCAUGAGGCUGAGAAGUCCCAUGACCUGCCGUCUGCAAGCUGCAGGCCCAAGGAAGUCAAUGGUGUAAGUCCCAGUUUGAGCCUGAGGGUCUGAGAACCAGGAGUACCAAUGCCCAAGGGCAGAAGAAGAUGGAUGUCCCAGCUCUAAGAAAGACAGCAAAGUUGCCUUUUCCCCAGCUUUGUGUUCUAUUUGGGCCCUCAACAGAUUGGAUGAUACCCACCCAUGUUGAUGAGAGUGAUCUUUACUCAUUCCACUGAUUCAAAUGCUAAUCUCUUCUGGAAACACUCUCAUAAAUACCCCCAGAAAUAAUAUUUACCUGCCACCAUUCAUCCCUUAUUAGUUCAGUCAAGUUGACACACAAACUUAACCAUCACAGUAACCAACUUCGGUAGUAAAAAUAGUGUAUGUUUUUAAAUGUCUUACAUUUCCCAAACAGUUUCAAACAUAUUAUUUCCCAUGAUCCUUUGGCAACCUUGUGUAGGAUUGUUUUCUGUUUUUUUCUUCUUAUUUCACAGCUGAAGACACUGAAACUCAGAGAUGUUAAGUGACCUCCCUGAAGACAAUACACAGCUAAAAGAAUAGAGCCAGGACACAGGAUAAGUUCUGCAUUAGAGUAAGAUGUCCUUCCUAGUGCUAUGUUGCCUGUCUAGUUCAUUUGUUAAUCUAUUAAAAAAGUAAACAUACAAAAAUUUCUCAGCAUCACUAAUGAUCAGGGAAAUGCAAAUCAAAACCACAAAGUGAUACCACCUUACUCCUGCAAGAAUGGCCAUAAUAAAAAAAUGAAAAAAUAAUAGAUGUUGGUGUGAAUGCAGUGAAUAGGGAACACUUCUACACUGCUGGUGGGAAUGUAAACCAGUACAACCACUAUGGAAAACAGCAUGGAGGUUCCCUAAAAUCUAAAAGUAGAACUACCAUUUGAUUCAGCUAUCCCACUGCUGGGUAUCUACCCAGAGGAAAAGAAGUCAUUAUACGAAAAAGAUACUUGCAUAUGCAUAUUUAUAGCAGCACAAUUCACAAUUGCGAAAACAUGGAACCAACCCAAGUGGCCAUCAAUCAACAAGUGGAUAAAGAAACUGUGGUAUAUAUAUAUGUAUAUGAUGGAAUACUACUCAGCCAUAAAAAGGAAUGAAUGAAUGGCAUUUGCAAUGACCUGGAUGAGAUUGGAGACUAUCAUUCUAAGUGAAGUAACUCAGGAAUGGAAAACCAAACAUCAUAUGUUCUCACUCAUAAGUGGGAGCUAGGCUAUGAGGAUGCAAAGGCAUAAGAAUGACACAAUGGACUUUGG